AUUGAACGCUGGCGGAAUGCUUUACACAUGCAAGUCGAACGGCAGCACGGACUUCGGUCUGGUGGCGAGUGGAGAACGGGUGAGUAAUGUAUCGGAACGUGCCCAGUCGUGGGGGAUAACGUAGUGAAAAUUACGCUAAUACCGCAUACGAUCUAUGGAUGAAAGCGGGGGAUCGCAAGACCUCGCGCGAUUGGAGCGGCCGAUAGCAGAUUAGGUAGUUGGUGGGGUAAAGGCCCACCAAGCCAACGAUCUGUAGCUGGUCUGAGAGGACGACCAGCCACACUGGAACUGAGACACGGUCCAGACUCCUACGGGAGGCAGCAGUGGGGAAUUUUGGACAAUGGGCGAAAGCCUGAUCCAGCCAUUCCGCGUGCAGGAUGAAGGCCCUCGGGUUGUAAACUGCUUUUGUACAGAACGAAAAGGUUUCUACUAAUACUAGGAGCUCAUGACGGUACUGUAAGAAUAAGCACCGGCUAACUACGUGCCAGCAGCCGCCGUAA
RNAcentral lists this ribosomal RNA (500 nucleotides) under uncultured bacterium. RNAcentral describes it as "partial 16S ribosomal RNA". It matches the Rfam family "Bacterial small subunit ribosomal RNA", at positions 30 to 523 of the family's 1533-position model. The record is from RNAcentral.